CAUUUCAAGCUGAAGAUGAUCCUGCUGUGAAGCUCAAGUCCAAUGAAGUUAGGAUUGGACCAAUAACACGAGCUCGUGCGAAGCUACUCAAACAACAUGUGAACUUGUUCCUAAACGAUACUUUGAUUGAUGCGAACUUUAUACUGCCUAAGUGCUAUUACUUAUGUAUGAUCAGGUAUGAGGAGGGAGCAAGCAUCGCACGAGGAAGAGAGGAGCAGCUGGACCAGAAGAUGGACGUGAAGUUGGACAUGGAGCUGGACAUGAAGACAUCCCAUGGACGCGCGAGGGAGGAGCGGGAGGAAUGCGCGAGAGGGGAAGCUGAAGUUCAGGCCGGUGCCAGAUCCGGUCCGACCGGCCGUGCCGCCGGACCAUCCGGUCCCAGGCCCGGUCCGACCGGAUCCUGCGCCGGGUCCGCCCGGUUUCAACCGGGUUUUUGACCUGUGCCAUCCGGGCGAUGUCCAGUAAGCCAGAAACGUCGCCCGGUCACCACCCAGCUCCAGGCUUGGUUUGAACCGGACCGGCCGGUCCCAGACCCGGUCGACCGGCCUCCCGACCGGCCGACUCCGAGUCUGUCUCGACCAGAUCUGUUCUAGGUCGGUUAUUCUCGUAUUUUUUCGACCUGAGGUCAUCCUGUACUCCUAUAUAAGUGCCCAGGACACUCCCUAGCUGAUUUAGACCACGUUUAAGAUAAACCCUAGUUCUUAGUUGUUUGCUCUGCAAAACUAUUGAAUUCCCUACACCAUAUUGCUUGA
Non-coding RNA from Lolium perenne, 752 nucleotides. Lineage: Eukaryota; Viridiplantae; Streptophyta; Magnoliopsida; Poales; Poaceae. The record is from RefSeq and is a predicted model, not a curated record.